UCUGGUGGCAGGGAGGGCCUGGAGAAGGAGUCAUAUUCACGGAGCCCAAUACCUGAACAGAGCUUCAAGUGUGGGCAUUGCUUGAAGGUUGGGAGAUUACUACCUCCCAUUUUCCCAGAUGGCCAGGAAACGACAGUGGGCAUUGGACCUAGGACUUUUACUCUCUGGAUCAGAAAGUUCAAUCUAAUACAGCUUUGGAUUCUCCAUAGCUUUUUGAUCACCUACAUCCUCUUGAACCUGAAGCAUCAUGGACUCUGUGGUCUAGGGCACACAUUCAGGAUGGAAGAGUGGUGGCCCAGACGAUUCCCAGGACCCUGCCAACUUUGUGUAACCAUCUCUAAUUCUAUAACACUCGCCAGUGGACUGUCACUUCAGAGACAAAUACAUUCUUAUUUGUUAAUUUAUUGUUCUUCAGCUUUCUCUCUUAUACAUAGCUAAACCAAAUUCUCACAAAAAGAUAUGUGCUUAUAUAUAUGUAAAGGGGCAUGAGAGACAAUUGGGAGUUAUAAAGCUAAUGAGUAUUCCACAGGCAAUUGUUAUCCAACAGAGGUCUUCAUGUCUUCUAGUUAAUUUCUUAAAAAGGUACACAGACACACAUAUUCAGCACUAAUACAUAACAAAAAUACUUUUAUGUGGAGAUGAGGCUAAAGAGGUAAAACUUCAAAAAGUAAAAGUUCUAUAAAUCUUUUCUAUGUAGUAACAAAAACAGGACUGUUAAUUCUAAAUGUUAAAAUUUAUGAGCUGUAUUUCCAGAUGGAUAUUAAAGCAUUUAAAUAUCCAUAUAAGUAAAAAGCAAUGACAUAGAAUUGCAACAAUGUGUCAUUACACUUGAUUUAUGAAUGACUUUAGUGGUGGAUUAGGGAAGAGAUGCUUCUCAUCAACCUUAUUUUUCACAUCUAGGUAACUAUUAAUGAGUGAUUUUCUAUUAGAAUGGCCCUGGUUGUCUAAUAGGUGAUUUAAUGUAUUGUGAUUCAUUUGCUUAAAGAAGUAAACAGUAAAACAAAAACCCCAGUGAGACGGGAUGAGAUUCUGCAGAGAUGUGAAGUUGUUAGUUGAUGUAUCUGUUACUUUGAUGAAGACCUCUUCUGCCCAAGCAUUUUAAGGAGGAUGAUAAACAACAAAGUUGGUAACCCAGAGUCCUUGACAGGAAAGAAGCUGUUUGAUAUAAAGGGGCAUGAAGUGCAUUUGAUUGAUUUUAGUUGGUAGUUUUCACAAAUCAUCCAUCUUAAUUUUGGAUACAUUAUCAAUAUAUUCAGUAAAUGUCACUUGUGAUGCCUAUCACAACAAUGACAUAGUUUUCCAUGAAAAGUUUAAUUUUGGGACAGGCGCUGUGGUGUAGUGGGCUAAGUCUCCUCCUGCAGUAGUAGUAUCCUGUAUGGGUGCCGGUUUGUGUCCCAGCUGCUUCUCUUCCCAUCCAGCUCUCUGCUAUGGCCUGGGAAAGCAGUAGAAGAUGGUCCAAGUGCUUGGGCCUCUGCACCAGCGUGGGAGAUGUGGAAGAAACUCCUGGCUCCUGGCUUCAGAUUGGCUCAGCUCCAGUCACUGUGGCCAUUUGGAGAGUGAACCAGCGGAAGGAAGACUUUUCUCUCUGUCUCUCCCUCUCUCUGUAACUCUAUUUCUCAAAUGAAUAAAUAAAAUCUUUUUAAACA
Oryctolagus cuniculus (rabbit) is the source of this 1646-nucleotide long non-coding RNA. The record is from Ensembl. NCBI's taxonomy places the organism in Eukaryota, Metazoa, Chordata, Mammalia, Lagomorpha, Leporidae.